This 1207-nucleotide long non-coding RNA is filed under the name Coturnix japonica (Japanese quail). RNAcentral's name for it is "lncRNA (ENSCJPG00005013055.1)". Lineage: Eukaryota; Metazoa; Chordata; Aves; Galliformes; Phasianidae. The record is from RNAcentral.
AUGAAGAAGGGAAAAAAAAAAAUCAAAACAGGAGAUUCCCUUCUGCAUCUAGACAAUCCUUCCCUUUGGUAUCGUACUAUUUCAUCUCAAAUAGCUCAUCACCUGGGUAAGGGAAUCAAAAUAACAAGAAAAAUUAUCCAUUUUACACCCUCCCCCUCUUUAAAUUACUUUGAGAUAAAACCUUGCUAUAAAGACCAAUGGAAUUAGAACUAUAACUGUAAUGAAGUCCUCAUUAUUAUUUUUUCCCCCCAUUUUAGCAUCUGCAAUGCAAAGCAGACACCUACAUCAGAACUCUCAUAAGGGGGAGAGAGAGAGAGGCACUUCCAAGAGGUCACUGAUGCUUGAGGACUGCUGUAUUCCUGGGAGAGAUUAAACCAGCCCUUGUUCAACAGCUUCUGUAGGAAAUUUAAAUAGUGAGGUAAAAAAAAUCCAGAGGUUUCCUGCUGUAUAAUCCAGGAGCCUUAAGCUUCAGCUACUUUCAAAUGUUAGUUGGUAGUUCCAGAAGCAGUUCAACUCUAGUCUUGGUCUCCACAUACUGCAGAGCCUGCAGAAUGUGAAUCAGCAAAGGUAGUGCCUUUACUUGAUUGUAACAGACUUAUGGCAGUUCCUCUUUCCUGGUCUGAUCACAGGCUACCCAUGGGGAAUGGGAAGCCAAUCCUAUUAGUGUAAGGGAAACUGUUUAUCACAGCCUGAACCUCUGAUUAACCAUCUGAGGCAAGUGACGAGUCAGCUGUGGGAGCACAGGUGAAGGUAAUUCAGCUGUGCUCCUGGAAGGGGUGGAGCUUGACUCUACCUCUCCUAGAUCCCAUUUAAGAGCUGACCACCACUAAGGCAGCAUCUCUUUCUGGAGAUUGCUCCUUUGUGGAGUUUUUGUGGUGAGCCUCAAUGUUGGUGAGCAUCCAUCUUGACUGAAAGCCUCAGCACUGGUGAGUCUUUUCUUAGAUACCCUCUGGCUAUCCAUUUACCCUGUAAUUACAGCUAUGUACUUGUAUUAUUGUAUAUUUGUAUUAUUAUAUACAACUAUAUGUGUUAGAAACUUCAAUUGUAUGUUAUGGCCUGAUGUUUUAUUUCUGCCUUGCCUAGAUAACAAAUGAAAAGCUCACAUGCAAGAAUAGGCUUGUGCAUCACCUUAAUGCUGGGGUCCAGAGUAGCAGAAAAGUCAAUUGAAAACCAUCCUGCAGAAAGGAGGUCAGACAAGCUGGAAGGA